AAUUGGAGGGCAAGUCUGGUGCCAGCAGCCGCGGUAAUUCCAGCUCCAAUAGCGUAUAUUAAAGUUGUUGCAGUUAAAAAGCUCGUAGUUGAAUUUCGGGGUUAGUAGGUUGGUCAUGCCUCUGGUAUGUACUGAUCUCACUGAUUCCUCCUUCCUUAUGAACCGUAAUGCCAUUAAUUUGGUGUUGCGGGGAAUUUGGACUGUUACUUUGAAAAAAUUAGGGUGUUUAAAGCAGGCUAACGCUUGAAUACAUUAGCAUGGAAUAAUGAAAUAGGACGUUCGAUCUUAUUUUGUUGGUUUCUAGGAUUGACGUAAUGAUUAAUAGGGAUAGUUGGGGGCAUUAGUAUUCAAUUGUCAGAGGUGAAAUUCUUGGAUUUAUUGAAGACUAACUACUGCGAAAGCAUUUGCCAAGGAUGUUUUCAUUAAUCAAGAACGAAAGUUAGGGGAUCGAAGACGAUCAGAUACCGUCGUAGUCUUAACCAUAAACUAUGCCGACUAGGGAUCGGAUGAUGUUAAUUUUUUAAUGACUCAUUCGGCGCCUUACGGGAAACCAAAGUGU
Molecule: ribosomal RNA, 559 nt
Filed under: uncultured Glomus
Lineage: Eukaryota; Fungi; Glomeromycota; Glomeromycetes; Glomerales; Glomeraceae
Description: SSU rRNA
Rfam family: Eukaryotic small subunit ribosomal RNA
Source: RNAcentral